UGGCCUCCUUUGUGGUAUUGCUGUUAUUCUUUGUGGGUUCCAUUUGUUAGCUCUCUGCAUCCAGUCUGUGUAGUAGUCCCAUAACCUUGCAAUUCCAGGCAUAUGCUCCAGCACCUUCCUCAAGGAGCAGAUGUAGUUAUUUAAGAGCUUAACACAGCUUAACAUGUGAGUCAAAAUAGGACUGCAGGGUUCUUGUGCUUAGGAGAACAGGGAAAUUGGCCAGUAUGGAUUCAAACUCAGCGAUUGUGGGUUUCUGAAACAGAAUAUCUGUUGAAACACUGUGUCCCAUAGAAGUAUCAGAGAGGAGUGAUUGAAUAGAUUCCUUUGAAUCACCUAGAGCCAGGUGCCCAGGAUUUGGAAUAUCUCCAGUGAUGGAGACUCCACAGCCCCUAUGGCACAACCUGUUCCAGUGCUCAGUCACCUCCAUAAAUCUGAGUCUAACUGAUAAAUACUUGCUAAAAUCCCUAAUAAUGAGAUGCAUUCUGCCACCCUUAUAAUUAUUCUCUUCCCUUUUUGUAGUUUGAGAAGAAUGAGGCUGUUGACAAGGAAAACAGGUUUUAAAAUGACUGUGUAAGAGGCCCUAUCCAAAAGCUGUGAGAUCCUGUUAUGGCAAAUGAAGUUCUGGAGUAACCCAAGAGAUGAGCUACUUGCUGCAUGUGUUUCUGCCUUGCUGUUCAAAUGUCUUUCCAAUGCUGCACCUUGCCUAGACCUGGUGUCAAAGGCAGUGGCCAGUUGUCUGGAGCUUGCUUUCUGUCCUGUUCAUCCACUGUAAAAGGCCAGUCUUUCUCGGGCUUUCUGAGAGCUCCUGGAGUAUGAACAACCUUAUAAAUUAAAUCACCACACUGUCUGCUGGAUGCUUUCUUGCAGAAGUGCUGGUAACUGUGGAACAUAUUUUGUUGAUCAUCUGAAGAACGGCAGCUUCUACACCUGGCAGCUGCCAGAUGUUCUUGACACACAGCUGGCUGCUGGUAGCUCAGGAGCAGGGCUGAACAGUGCAGAUUCCAAUGGGUUUAUAGCUGGGAUUUGCAGAUUAACGCUCUGUUGUAUUCUGCAGCAUCUUCCUGGGCUGCGUCCCACCUGCAUGAAUGGAAGAAAUUCCUCACGUUUUCCUUCUGCUCUGGUCCUUCAAUCACAGUAAACAGAAUUUAGUUCCAAAUGUUUUAGAAGAGCUGUCUUAUCCAGCGUGGGAUUCGGAUAAGCACAGAACUAACAUUUCCCAUAUUAUGGUUGUAGCCAAUUGCAUAAUUGGUAAUACUGAAAUUAAAAUGUUUAAACUUUAUUUUUUACUUGCAAAUGGUAUUAUAUAGUUUUUGACUGCAGGAAGGGGAAGGACAGCUUGUGAAACAAACCUGUCCAAGCAGGGUAAGUAGCUACCAGGGUUGCCUAAGUCAACUGCUCUUAAAAUGGAGCUUGUGAUAGGGGGAAAGGUGGAAACCAAACAAAAAUAAAUAACACAAAAAAUAGUAGUUAGAUUUCAAAUGCUGAGCUGCCUGAGAAGAAACAACUUCUUCAGAAUUCCAUGGGGAAUGACUGUUGUUGGCACAUACACAUCAGUGAUCUGCAACACUGAUACAAUGGUACAGUUGUUUUUAUAAGACAUUUAGCUCUGAAUUUGACACUCUUGAACAUGUGUAUUAGAGCAUGAUACAUAUGUGAAUUCUGAAGACUUCUUUUUUACAAGUUUGAGUAAAUUCAAAAAGCAGUUAUUUCUUGGUUUAGAGAACACCUUUGGAAUUUUGCUUUGUGUUUUCACUGUGCAGGACUCUGAAUAUUUAGUCAGAAAGACUGCACAGGCUUUUUGUUGUUAGGUCACUGUUUGUGACAAAACCCCAAGUAGGUAAAGAGCCUCAUAUACCAAUGAAUGCAGAGGAUUGCAUACUUUGAACAGGAGCAAAGACUUUGUAGCCAACUGUAUGGAAGGAAUUGUUUCCAGCUCUCCAUAAAGCUUUCAAAUCUAUGUAAUAGGCUUUUUUUUAGAAAUGUCACUGUUCUAGCUUAGCUUAACUGAUGGAAUAGCAUUCACCACACUGAAGUCAGGGCAUGGUCUGAACUCCACUGAAAUAAGUGGAGGAAAAAAAAUAUCUUGGGCUUGGACUAGGCUUGUAGUGCCAAGGGAAGCUUCUCCAGGUCAUUGUAGGGAAACUGUUUUCCCAAUAGUUUAUCAUAAAAUGUGUCCAGACUGGAGCCUCUGAAAGAUUUCCUUAUCUUAAAAAGGCACCAUGAAUCUCCUUAUUGACAUCAUCCACUUUUCAGCCAUAAAAUCACACUUCCUGCCUUUUACUGAUGAACAGGAGUUGGAAAAGUCAGCCUUAAUAUAUAUCCAUAGAUAGAUAGAUAUAGAUGUCCUUUUUCCCAAGCAUCUCCUGUCAAGUAUUUUUCCUUGGCUGUCCCUCAUGUGUUUCAAGUGACAUUUCCUCUGCUGACUCUGCCUGUUUGACCUUCAUUCUUAUUUGUCCGAAGUUCUGUGGUAUUUUUCUUGGUAUUGAAAGUAGUUCAUGAGGCUAGAAAAAGUGUUCUACAUCUUGAUUUCAAAUUUGUCAAGUGUCAAAACCUGACUAUUUAAAAAAGAAAUGUAGCAGCUCAAUCUCUUCUGAACUCCACCCCAUUCAUCACAGUAAAAGCAAUUUUGGGUGGACUCGGUGUUGGUAAUUUGUAAACCAUUAGGGACUUCUAGAGGCAGUAAUUCUGUGUUUUAAAAAAAGCUGAAAAGAUUUUUUUAUUGUUGGAAUUUCUUCCCUCAUUUAAACAUAAUCUGAAUAAUUUGUACUAGAAACUAGUAAAAAUUACUCUCAUUUCAAGUGUUCUUGAAUAGAUUUUAACUCUAUCCCUAUAUCUUAAUUUUCUGUAGGAGAGUAAAAACGAUUUUCAGCCUCCAAGAAGCAUACAGAGCUUUCUUCCUGUCCCUUCUCAUUCCCACUUUAAGCAACAGUAUGUGGAAUCUAAUCUUCAAAUAGCUUCUUUUACUUAAUUUGGCUACUGGUAAAAUGAAUAUAUUUUUUAAUUAACUGCAAUUUUUUUUUUCUGUUUCCUUAUGAGUAAAGGCAACCUGAUUUUAUCCUGAAAAAAUAGCCAUCAAGCAUCUAUAUACAGCAAAUCAGUCAGUUUGCCAGGAGUUGAGCCAAUGCAUAAAUGAGAAGGGGCUAAAAAUGAAGCAGAAUACUCUGUGAGUUAAUAGAAAGUUUCCUAUUGAUGUCUGUGGGCUGAAUUUCUCCAAGUAACUGUACUGAAGUGUGCAAUGCAAUACAUGAAAGAUGUAUGUAUUAAUAAGUGGAUCAUGUUCCAUCCAGUGUGGUGUAUAAAGACCUUGCAUCUGAUAGACAUUGGGAGGCAAUUAUGCUGGCUGCUGAAACUUGUGAACCUGAUAAAAACCCACCCAGUGAUCCUCAGACCCCCUAAAGAAGAACUGAUAAUGGAUCUGCCUUCAGCAAAUGGAGACAUGGGAUAAGUUUCACCCUUUCUGGGAGGAGAGGAAGGAGUGUAUGAGCAAGAUGAAGAGGACUGGCCAGCCAAAGGCCAGCAAGGAGGGAGACCAGUACGUUGCAUCUCUGCUGCUGAGCAUGAAGAUCACCAGCACUGAAAAUUUCAGUUCAGUGUUUCUUAUGUAAACCAAACAGCAGGACGAGUAAGUCUCUGAGGAUCAGUUCCAUGUUAAUAAUUUGGGCUCUGUGUAAAAUGAUUCAUGUACAUGAUGGUGAUAAGCACAGGGAGGUACACUAAGGCAUGGUUAGCAAGUAGGAUGUCUUACUAGAGGAAUAUACUGGACUUGAUUUAAAGUGUGUAUAAAGUUAUGUAAAUAUUUAGGGUCACUGUUUCCCAGGUGAUAGCCAACUGUAAAGCAUGGUUUUUGUCUUUUCUAUCAUUCCUGCUUAUAAUCAAUCUACCUGUAAUUAUCCUGCCCCAAUUUUGGCCCUGCCUCCACAAUCCAUGCCAUCUACAUCCCUCAAAAUACACCUAUAAGAUCCUCAAAAUCACCUGGAAGUAUGAGCAUUGUGAAAAAAGAGUUGCUUGAAUGUUACGGAAAAUUCUGCUGUUCAUGUUGCACUGAUGUUAUAUGUCUUGUUCUUCAUGUCUUUUAUUUUUGGAUUUGAUUCCCUGGUUUGGUCAAGGAACUCAAAUAUCACUCAGAGUUCUGGAUCUUGAUUAAUCAGAGAGUUCAUCUUUCUGUUUGUCACAGGAAAUGGUGAUCAACUGGAUCAUCAGAAUUGCUUCUUUGUUGCCUUGGUUUUUUUUUCCCUUUAAGUGAAACUUCAAGUGGCUGACAAGUGUUUUGGAGGCCAUAUAGAAAUCUGUUUGUCUAGAUGUUCUUCAGAGUCCAAAUGUUUGCAGAAACUCAAGUGGCUGUGGGAAAGUGUGUGGAUGACCCUUAUUAGUAGGGUCUGCUCUGUUCAGCAGCUGAGAGCUGAAGCUGUUUUAAGUCUUUGGCUUGUGACAGUAUAUUUUUCUAGUGGUUUGAGAACCCAGGUGGGCACCAUUUUAAAGUUGUCAACAAUGUAAAUACUUCUAAUGUAUAAGCAUAUUUUUUAAAAUGACACACCAGAAAGUUGAUGAUGUGCUGCAUGUUUCACUAGAUUAAUGAACUUCCAGCACACAUAUCAUGUAGCAUUACUUCAUAUAGUGUAAUCCACAUUUCUGCAAUCAUGCAAGAUACCAAAAAAUACAUCAUAAAAUGUGCUAGAAGAUAUGAGAGCCUGUGACACAGACUAGAUAUUUUUCUAGUAGCUCAUCCACAAAAUUAAAGUGGUUGAAACAGAAAAUGUUGAAACCAAAAGAAUGUUGGAGUAAAUAGCAACCAAGAAUUCCUUUCAUAACUCACUUUUGUUUACUGGUAAAUUCUAUCUUCACAUUGUGAACAUAAUUAGUAAAUAUCUAGUGGCAUUUUUUCAGGUUCAGUUUAACGUCUAUAUUAACUAAGUAAAUGCUUAGAUUUUGCUGUAUGCAUAGAUGAUAGUGAAGGAAGAGAACUGUAUAUCAAUGUAAUGCUUGUCCUGAAUUUCCUAAUACAAGGGAUAAUUACUACCACCUUUAUCCUCAUCUCUUUUUGGUUUUGAGCAAAAUUUAAUUUGACACUGCAAAAGAAAUACAAAAUACUUUAGGCAGUGCUAUAUUGUCUCUUCAACAAGCAUAGCCAUUAAAAAAAAAAUCUUAAUCUUUGUAUGCUUAUGUGUCAGAUAAACAAAAACUUUGAAAAAUCAGAUUCCUAUUUGUCCAACUAGAUUGUUACAGAAAAAUCAAUGUUUCUCAUUAAUCACAACCCCUAACUUCUACUUCUGUGGUGCAAACUGCAAAUCAGUAAUACUUUUGUUUGCAGAUUUGAAAUUAAUUAGUUCAUUUUGUACAAGUUACAAAAUACUGAUAUAAAGUGUGGGCUGCUAAUGUCUUGAGCCUUGUUCAGACACACUGAGAUGGCAUACUCUGUACCCCAUAUCUCAUAGUAUUUCACAUCUACAUUUUAUGUUAUACUCUAUCUGAAUGUUUUAACA
Haemorhous mexicanus (house finch) is the source of this 5480-nucleotide long non-coding RNA. RefSeq lists it as uncharacterized. The transcript is spliced from 3 exons. The record is from RefSeq and is a predicted model, not a curated record. Lineage: Eukaryota; Metazoa; Chordata; Aves; Passeriformes; Fringillidae.